This 76-nucleotide transfer RNA is filed under the name Thiohalocapsa sp. PB-PSB1. Its description in RNAcentral is "uncultured Thiohalocapsa sp. PB-PSB1 tRNA-Met". It matches the Rfam family "tRNA". Rfam says of the family: Transfer RNA (tRNA) molecules are approximately 80 nucleotides in length. Their secondary structure includes four short double-helical elements and three loops (D, anti-codon, and T loops). Further hydrogen bonds mediate the characteristic L-shaped molecular structure. tRNAs have two regions of fundamental functional importance: the anti-codon, which is responsible for specific mRNA codon recognition, and the 3' end, to which the tRNAs corresponding amino acid is attached (by aminoacyl-tRNA synthetases). tRNAs cope with the degeneracy of the genetic code in two manners: having more than one tRNA (with a specific anti-codon) for a particular amino acid; and 'wobble' base-pairing, i.e. permitting non-standard base-pairing at the 3rd anti-codon position. Lineage: Bacteria; Pseudomonadati; Pseudomonadota; Gammaproteobacteria; Chromatiales; Chromatiaceae. The record is from RNAcentral. RNAcentral also lists the same sequence under 6 other names.
GGGCCGUUAGCUCAGCGGUUAGAGCAGGGGACUCAUAAUCCCUUGGUCCUAGGUUCGAAUCCUAGACGGCCCACCA